Molecule: non-coding RNA, 74 nt
Organism: Podarcis muralis (Common wall lizard)
Lineage: Eukaryota; Metazoa; Chordata; Lepidosauria; Squamata; Lacertidae
Source: the annotation of a RefSeq genome assembly
GCUGAGAUGGCUCAGUCGGUAGAGCAGGAGACUUUUAAUCUCAGGGUCGUGGGUUCGAAUCCCCACGUUGGGCA